This 211-nucleotide long non-coding RNA is filed under the name Elaeis guineensis (African oil palm). RNAcentral describes it as "long non-coding RNA (EGUI_LNC019664)". The record is from RNAcentral. Lineage: Eukaryota; Viridiplantae; Streptophyta; Magnoliopsida; Arecales; Arecaceae.
CGGGCUAGGUUGAAAAAGGAGGUGGCGGGCUACGGGCUGGAGCAAGGGUUUCUUCUCUUUCAUUUCAAGGAGGUCGAGGAGAGGGAUCUGGUACUCCACCGACUGUGGGUGGUCAUCAACCAGGCUCUAGCAAUAGAGCCAUGGCGGCCCAAUUCUUUCCAUCGGAGGGGGCCAUCUGAUUAGCCCUGAUUUAGGUCUGAUUGUUGCUGCU